Long non-coding RNA from Cucumis melo (muskmelon), 1278 nucleotides. RefSeq lists it as uncharacterized. Lineage: Eukaryota; Viridiplantae; Streptophyta; Magnoliopsida; Cucurbitales; Cucurbitaceae. The record is from RefSeq and is a predicted model, not a curated record. The transcript has 6 exons.
UAAAAAAAAGAGAACAACAUUUCUUCUUCUUCUUCUCCAAAAAAAAUCGUGAAGCCCCCUUCUCUCUCUAGAACUUCUCUUCCACUCACUCUCUCUCUCGCACGCCGGCCACGGCACAACUUGUCGUCGACAACGCGGCCGAAAAUCCAAAGUCACCGAUUCUCCCUCUGUCUCACCGAUAUUUCUCUCUUCUCUUAUCAACCAUCACCGUCCAUUGAUCGGAGUAUGUUCGAUGCAUUUGCCAUCGUCAAACUCGAGGUUGGAAGUUUUGGUUGGAAUUUGCUGCUGUCCAGCGAAAGCUCGGAAUUAGGCAUCUUGGCACAACUUGGAAGUGUGGUAAACACAGACCAACUCUGAUGUUCUCAUCGGUUUGAGCUACACAAAAAGAAUUAACAGGCUAGAUCGAAGUGGGAAAGGCGUAAAAUCCCGAGGGAUCGAGUAAUUGAUUGCUACGAGAAUGUGUUUCUGUAGCGCCACCUACGGUUGUCAGGGGAUUCCGUGGCUGAAAGAGGUCGUGACCGGAGAUCCGAGAACCUGAGCCUAGGUGAGGACGUGGAUGAAGAAUUGUGAUAUGGCUUCGGGCCUGCUUAACCCAUGGUUGGGUGGCUCUAUGUGCACAUAGGAGCGGUAUGUUGUUACCGUGGUAGGUGCUAAGUAUGCGUGAGCUCCGUUUGGCCGCGUGUUUCCUUGUGGAUUGGAUCACGUGUGAGCUAUCCUUGGGUUGUAUGCUUAGUACGCUAUCAUGGUUGGAUUGGAUUGGUUAGAUCGGAUUGGAUGGAGGUUGUUAUCGUGGCGGGUACUAAAUAUGCGUGAGUUAGUUUUGGCCGCAUGAUUUUUAGUCAUGUGCGAGAUUUCUUUGGCCGUAUAUUUAGAUGUCUUGCCAUGGUUGGUUUGGAUACAGGUUGUGAACCAAAGGCCAAGUGUUGAUUUAACGCUCGUCAUCAGUCGUAGAUCUCCAUUAUGCUUGUAUGCUUAUAGUAAAUUUUUGCAUCAUGGAGUAGUUAGAUGUGAUGAGAGUGAGGUUAAGAACUUGUGUUGAAUUUUCCUCUUAGAACGAAAUCAUGUGUAUGUAACUUUUAAGCUGAUUGUGAACUUUACUGAAACUCUGAAACUGUUUGGAUAAGUGUGUGGUGAGACACACUUGCGGCGUUGUGGAGUUUUGAAGUUAAGUUACAUAUAGAAGUGCAAAAUCUCUCCUUUUUAGGUUUGACUAACUCAUAUUUUAGGGGAGAUGCUGCCGAAAUUUUUAAUGAAUUUUUUUUAAAGGUGUUUUAUAAA